CGACGGGUAGCCGGCCUGAGAGGGUGACCGGCCACACUGGGACUGAGACACGGCCCAGACUCCUACGGGAGGCAGCAGUGGGGAAUAUUGCACAAUGGGCGCAAGCCUGAUGCAGCAACGCCGCGUGAGGGAUGACGGCCUUCGGGUUGUAAACCUCUUUUAGCAGGGAAGAAGCGAAAGUGACGGUACCUGCAGAAAAAGCGCCGGCUAACUACGUGCCAGCAGCCGCGGUAAUACGUAGGGCGCAAGCGUUAUCCGGAAUUAUUGGGCGUAAAGAGCUCGUAGGCGGUCUGUCGCGUCUGCUGUGAAAACCCGAGGCUCAACCUCGGGCCUGCAGUGGGUACGGGCAGACUAGAGUGCGGUAGGGGAGAUUGGAAUUCCUGGUGUAGCGGUGGAAUGCGCAGAUAUCAGGAGGAACACCGAUGGCGAAGGCAGAUCUCUGGGCCGUAACUGACGCUGAGGAGCGAAAGGGUGGGGAGCAAACAGGCUUAGAUACCCUGGUAGUCCACCCCGUAAACGUUGGGAACUAGUUGUGGGGUCCAUUCCACGGAUUCCGUGACGCAGCUAACGCAUUAAGUUCCCCGCCUGGGGAGUACGGCCGCAAGGCUAAAACUCAAAGGAAUUGACGGGGACCCGCACAAGCGGCGGAGCAUGCGGAUUAAUUCGAUGCAACGCGAAGAACCUUACCAAGGCUUGACAU
RNAcentral lists this ribosomal RNA (700 nucleotides) under Microbacterium arborescens. Its description in RNAcentral is "bacterial SSU rRNA". It matches the Rfam family "Bacterial small subunit ribosomal RNA", at positions 277 to 987 of the family's 1533-position model. Lineage: Bacteria; Bacillati; Actinomycetota; Actinomycetes; Micrococcales; Microbacteriaceae. The record is from RNAcentral.